CUUCGUUGCAUGACGAUCCCAAUACGGAUGUUAAACACAACAUGAUCCGAUGAUGCGCAUAAAACCGUGUGGAUAUCUCCGUUGCCUUCCUUCUGAUUCUCUUA
Molecule: small nucleolar RNA, 104 nt
Filed under: Leucoagaricus sp. SymC.cos
Lineage: Eukaryota; Fungi; Basidiomycota; Agaricomycetes; Agaricales; Agaricaceae
Description: Small nucleolar RNA Z13/snr52
Rfam family: Small nucleolar RNA Z13/snr52
About the family: Z13 or snr52 is a member of the C/D class of snoRNA which contain the C (UGAUGA) and D (CUGA) box motifs.
Source: Rfam by way of RNAcentral